AUUCAGGAGAGCAAUUUGGACCUAUGACCAAAGGACUAUAAAACAGUCUAUCUAUCUAUCUAUCUAUCUAUCUAUCUAUCUAUCUAUCUAUCUAUCUACCUAUCUAUCUACCUAUCUAUGUGUCUGUCUGUGUAUCUCUCUCUCUAUCCAUCUAUCCAUCCAUCCAUCCAUCUAUCUAUCUAUCUAUCUCUCUUUCUCUCAUCUAUCUAUCCAUCUAUCUAUCUAUCUAUCUAUCUAUCUAUCUAUCAAUCUAUCUAUCUAUCCAUCCAUCUAUGUAUGUAUGUA
RNAcentral lists this long non-coding RNA (285 nucleotides) under Monodelphis domestica (gray short-tailed opossum). RNAcentral's name for it is "lncRNA (ENSMODG00000038027.1)". The record is from RNAcentral. Lineage: Eukaryota; Metazoa; Chordata; Mammalia; Didelphimorphia; Didelphidae.